CCUACGGGAGGCAGCAGUCGAGAAUCAUUCACAAUGGGGGAAACCCUGAUGGUGCGACGCCGCGUGGGGGAAUGAAGGUCUUCGGAUUGUAAACCCCUGUCAUGUGGGAGCAAAUGAAAAAGAUAGUACCACAAGAGGAAGAGACGGCUAACUCUGUGCCAGCAGCCGCGGUAAUACAGAGGUCCCAAGCGUUGUUCGGAAUCACGGGGCGUAAAGGGUGCGUAGGCUGUUUCGUAAGUCGUGUGUGAAAGGCGCGGGCUCAACCCGCGGGCGGCACAUGAUACUGCGAGACUAGAGUAAUGGAGGGGGAACCGGAAUUCUCGGUGUAGCAGUGAAAUGCGUAGAUAUCGAGAGGAACACUCGUGGCGAAGGCGGGUUCCUGGACAUUAACUGACGCUGAGGCACGAAGGCCAGGGGAGCGAAAGGGAUUAGAUACCCGGGUAGUC
Molecule: ribosomal RNA, 446 nt
Filed under: uncultured bacterium
Lineage: Bacteria
Description: partial 16S ribosomal RNA
Rfam family: Bacterial small subunit ribosomal RNA
Source: RNAcentral